This 453-nucleotide ribosomal RNA is filed under the name uncultured Porphyromonadaceae bacterium. RNAcentral's name for it is "partial 16S ribosomal RNA". It matches the Rfam family "Bacterial small subunit ribosomal RNA", at positions 341 to 792 of the family's 1533-position model. The record is from RNAcentral. Lineage: Bacteria; Pseudomonadati; Bacteroidota; Bacteroidia; Bacteroidales; Porphyromonadaceae.
ACGGAAGGCAGCAGUGAGGAAUAUUGGUCAAUGGGCGGAAGCCUGAACCAGCCAAGUCGCGUGAGGGAGGAAGGUCCUACGGAUUGUAAACCUCUUUAGCCGGGGAGCAAUAAGCGCUAUGUAUAGCGUGAUGAGAGUACCCGGAGAAUAAGGAUCGGCUAACUCCGUGCCAGCAGCCGCGGUAAUACGGAGGAUCCGAGCGUUAUCCGGAUUUAUUGGGUUUAAAGGGUGCGCAGGCGGUCGAUUAAGUCAGUGGUCAAAUCACAGUGCUCAACGCCGUUCCGCCAUUGAUACUGGUUGACUUGAGUCCGGUCGAGGCAGGCGGAAUUCGUAGUGUAGCGGUGAAAUGCAUAGAUAUUACGAAGAACUCCGAUUGCGUAGGCAGCUUACCAGGCCGGCAAUGACGCUCAUGCACGAAAGUGCGGGGAUCGAACAGGAUUAGAUACCCUGGUA